RNAcentral lists this transfer RNA (85 nucleotides) under Ignatzschineria indica. Its description in RNAcentral is "tRNA-Tyr". It matches the Rfam family "tRNA". From Rfam's summary of the family: Transfer RNA (tRNA) molecules are approximately 80 nucleotides in length. Their secondary structure includes four short double-helical elements and three loops (D, anti-codon, and T loops). Lineage: Bacteria; Pseudomonadati; Pseudomonadota; Gammaproteobacteria; Cardiobacteriales; Ignatzschineriaceae. The record is from RNAcentral. RNAcentral also lists the same sequence under 2 other names.
GGUGGAGUUCCCGAGUGGUUAAAGGGACUAGACUGUAAAUCUGGCGGCUAUGCCUUCGUAGGUUCGAAUCCUACCUCCACCACCA